Non-coding RNA from Devosia sp. 67-54, 95 nucleotides. The record is from Rfam. NCBI's taxonomy places the organism in Bacteria, Pseudomonadati, Pseudomonadota, Alphaproteobacteria, Hyphomicrobiales, Devosiaceae.
GACGUCUCGCUGGGGUGCUCCGGAGACGGAGCUGAGAAACACCCAUUGAACCUGAACCAGGUCAUGCUGGCGGAGGAAGUUCGAGAUGGCAAGGG